GCCCGGUUAGCUCAGCUGGUUAGAGCGUCGUACUAAUAUAGCUCCUGGUCAUAUCGAGUCAUGCGAAGGUCAACAGUUCAAUCCUGUUACUGGGCA
Trichocladium antarcticum is the source of this 96-nucleotide non-coding RNA. The record is from the annotation of a GenBank genome assembly. NCBI's taxonomy places the organism in Eukaryota, Fungi, Ascomycota, Sordariomycetes, Sordariales, Chaetomiaceae.